Molecule: microRNA precursor, 83 nt
Filed under: Bombyx mori (domestic silkworm)
Lineage: Eukaryota; Metazoa; Arthropoda; Insecta; Lepidoptera; Bombycidae
Description: mir-2807 microRNA precursor family
Rfam family: mir-2807 microRNA precursor family
Source: Rfam by way of RNAcentral
UUAACUUAAAUGUGUAUGGAGUUGAAAAGUUUGCCUACGUUUGCCGUUAGGGGCGCUGUUCCAACUGCAUACAAAAUGAGUUG